UAAAACGUAGGUGGCAAGCGUUAUCCGGAUUCACUGGGCGUAAAGCGCAUGUAGGUGGCACCGCAAGUAGGGCAUGAAAGCGCCUGGCUUAACUGGGCGUCUGUGUCCUAAACUGCGGCGCUUGAGGCUGAGAGAGGGAAGUGGAAUUGCCGGUGUAGUGGUGAAAUGCGUAGAGAUCGGCAGGAACACCCGUGGCGAAAGCGGCUUCCUGGCUCAGUCCUGACACUCAGAUGCGAAAGCUAGGGGAGCGAACGGGAUUAGAAACCCCGGUAGUCCUAGCCGUAAACGAUGUUCACUAGGUGUCGGGGGUAUUGACCCCCUCGGUGCCGAAGCCAACGCGUUAAGUGAACCGCCUGGGGACUACGGCCGCAAGGUUA
Molecule: ribosomal RNA, 377 nt
Filed under: uncultured bacterium
Lineage: Bacteria
Description: bacterial SSU rRNA
Rfam family: Bacterial small subunit ribosomal RNA
Source: RNAcentral